ACCAAUUGGACCCGGGGGCGGUACCCGGCGCCUCCACCAAAAUAUAAUAAAAUAAAGAUUAUAUUUUUAUGGGGGCGAAACAGGAUCGACAAGGGUGUAAAGAUUGCUCUUUUACUCGGCAUUGUACCACCGUUAUCGGACUAAAUGAGUAGUUGCAAAUGACAACUAUGCGGAAGCACGUCUCAUCGCUGCUUAAGCGAUGCGAAAGCUUCAAACUAAGUCUUAAACCGUCGCAGGUCUAAGCGGGGUUCGAAGG
Molecule: transfer-messenger RNA, 256 nt
Filed under: Bartonella rochalimae
Lineage: Bacteria; Pseudomonadati; Pseudomonadota; Alphaproteobacteria; Hyphomicrobiales; Bartonellaceae
Also listed under: 1 other name
Description: partial ssrA
Rfam family: Alphaproteobacteria transfer-messenger RNA
About the family: Bacterial tmRNA, also known as 10Sa RNA or SsrA, is named for its dual tRNA and mRNA-like properties.
Source: RNAcentral